AGGUAAAAGUUUCAUUUGAUCUGAAUACCUGGAUGAGGAAAAUGAAGAGGAGAAUAUGAAGAAGCGCUUAAGCCCUGCAGGAGGCAAGAAGCCUACGAACUGCUACUUCUGGACACUGACUGUUGAUGAUAUGAUGCUUUCUCUUGAUUGAUGGUUCUCCUGUCAUCAUUCUCCGGAUAUGACUCCCUGCAUGUCUCCUCUGCCACAUGACAGUCCUUUAAUAGAGAAGCCAGGCUUGGGGCAGAUAGAGGAAGAGAAUGAAGGGGCAGGAUUUAAAGCACAUCUUGAUUCUAUGGUGUCAGUAAAGAGGAAGGCUGAGAACAUUGCUUCUGUGGAGGAAGCAGAAGAAGACCUGAGUGGGACCCA
This is a long non-coding RNA of Nomascus leucogenys (northern white-cheeked gibbon), 366 nucleotides long. RefSeq lists it as uncharacterized. NCBI's taxonomy places the organism in Eukaryota, Metazoa, Chordata, Mammalia, Primates, Hylobatidae. The transcript is spliced from 4 exons. The record is from RefSeq and is a predicted model, not a curated record.